UACGGAGGGUGCAAGCGUUGUUCGGAUUUAUUGGGCGUAAAGCGCGUGUAGGCGGUUUCUUAAGUCUGAUGUGAAAGCCCUGGGCUCAACCCAGGAAGUGCAUUGGAUACUGGGAGACUUGAAUACGGGAGAGGGUAGUGGAAUUCCUAGUGUAGGAGUGAAAUCCGUAGAUAUCUGGAGGAACACCGGUGGCGAAGGCGGCAUCCUGGACCAAUAUUGACGCUGAGGAGCGAAAGCCAGGGGAGCAAACGGG
This 253-nucleotide ribosomal RNA is filed under the name uncultured bacterium. Its description in RNAcentral is "partial 16S ribosomal RNA". It matches the Rfam family "Bacterial small subunit ribosomal RNA", at positions 524 to 776 of the family's 1533-position model. The record is from RNAcentral.